AUUGAACGCUGGCGGCAUGCCUUACACAUGCAAGUCGAACGGCAGCACGGGAGCAAUCCUGGUGGCGAGUGGCGAACGGGUGAGUAAUAUAUCGGAACGUGCCCGGUCGUGGGGAUAACGUAGCGAAAGCUACGCUAAUACCGCAUACGAUCUACGGAUGAAAGCGGGGGAUCGCAAGACCUCGCGCGAUUGGAGCGGCCGAUAUCAGAUUAGGUAGUUGGUGAGGUAAAGGCUCACCAAGCCGACGAUCUGUAGCUGGUCUGAGAGGACGACCAGCCACACUGGGACUGAGACACGGCCCAGACUCCUACGGGAUGCAGCAGUGGGGAAUUUUUGGACAAUGGGCGCAAGCCUGAUCCAGCAAUGCCGCGUGCAGGAUGAAGG
This 384-nucleotide ribosomal RNA is filed under the name uncultured bacterium. Its description in RNAcentral is "bacterial SSU rRNA". It matches the Rfam family "Bacterial small subunit ribosomal RNA", at positions 30 to 414 of the family's 1533-position model. The record is from RNAcentral.